UCCAGAUUAGCUCAAUGGUAGAGUAGGUGACUGUUAAUCACUUGGUUACUGGUUCGAAUCCAGUAUCUGGAGCCA
Molecule: transfer RNA, 75 nt
Filed under: Caudoviricetes sp.
Lineage: Duplodnaviria; Heunggongvirae; Uroviricota; Caudoviricetes
Description: tRNA-Asn
Rfam family: tRNA
About the family: Transfer RNA (tRNA) molecules are approximately 80 nucleotides in length. Their secondary structure includes four short double-helical elements and three loops (D, anti-codon, and T loops).
Source: RNAcentral